Molecule: long non-coding RNA, 784 nt
Organism: Camelina sativa (false flax)
Lineage: Eukaryota; Viridiplantae; Streptophyta; Magnoliopsida; Brassicales; Brassicaceae
Source: RefSeq, a predicted model, not a curated record
UCUCACAAAUCCCAAAAAUUCUCUGACUCUUUCUAUAAGAGAACCCUUAAGUUCUCUCGUCUCUCCAACUCCCACAAGAUUCCAAAUUUCUUAACGUUCUAAAGAAAAAGCCCUAAAUUCUCGUGAAUUUGUUCUAAUAUGUCUUCGAGUAGAGAUCGUGGUGAAAGAUGGUGCGCGGAAGAUGUUAAUAUCAAGGGUCGCCCUGCAAGGAGAAGUCUCCAUCUCUGUCCGCUGGCCAGAAAGUUAAGAACUGUCUGGGUUUGUCUAAUGGUCACUUCGAGGCGUUUUAUGAUCUUGUAGAUUCCUUCAAAGAAGGGCAUGUCUGUUUUGAUACUCACCUGGAAUCGAUAGACUUAUAUGGUCUGACCCAUCUAUCGAACGAUCUCAUGAGUUCCUUACUCAAAGAUAUGGAGAAGAUCCCAACAAUGUCUUUGACUCAAAGUCAGUCAAUCAAUAAAGAUUUCUUGGCAACAUAUACCAAAGAUCCCACAAGCCACAGCUUUCUCCUCUCUAUCUCCACUAGUUCUCCAACACCAUCACCACCAAAGUAGGAGAGAGGUCAGAGAUAAAAAGAAGAAGGGACAAAACAAGUCACAAAGGGCGAUGACUAUACUUUUAGAUUCAAUUCAAUUCAAUUCAUUCUGUUUUUUCAAUCUAGUUUCCUCCUCUUUCUUUUGUCUAUACUUUUACGAUCUUGUACACGUUGAAUUUUUUGUCUGUCACUUUUAAACUAGUUCAGUUUAAAAAGAUUUUGUUUAGUGAAGGGAGAUUGACUCUGUUGAGA